RNAcentral lists this ribosomal RNA (207 nucleotides) under uncultured bacterium. Its description in RNAcentral is "partial 16S ribosomal RNA". It matches the Rfam family "Bacterial small subunit ribosomal RNA", at positions 568 to 774 of the family's 1533-position model. The record is from RNAcentral.
UGCGUAGGCGGUUCGUUAUGUCUGUGGUGAAAGCCCUGGGCUCAACCUAGGAAUGGCCAUGGAAACUGGCGGGCUGGAGUAUGGCAGAGGGGGGUGGAAUUCCGCGUGUAGCAGUGAAAUGCGUAGAGAUGCGGAGGAACACCGAUGGCGAAGGCAGCCCCCUGGGCUAAUACUGACGCUGAGGCACGAAAGCGUGGGGAGCAAACA